CCCUUAGAUGUCCUGGGCCGCACGCGCGUUACACUGAUGCAUUCAACGAGCUUAUAACCUUGGCCGAGAGGCCUGGGCAAUCUUGUUAACGUGCAUCGUGAUAGGGAUAGAUUAUUGAAAUUAUUAAUCUUGAACGAGGAAUUCCUAGUAAACGCAGAUCAUCAAUCUGCAUUGAUUACGUCCCUGCCCUUUGUACACACCGCCCGUCGCACCUACCGAUUGGAUGGUCCGGUGAAUGUUUUGGAUCGGCUUCAAGUUGGUUCGCGCCUCUUGCUUGCUGUGAAAUCAUGUAAACCUUAUUGCUUAGAGGAAGGAGAAGUCGUAACA
This 327-nucleotide ribosomal RNA is filed under the name uncultured eukaryote. RNAcentral's name for it is "partial 18S ribosomal RNA". It matches the Rfam family "Eukaryotic small subunit ribosomal RNA", at positions 1470 to 1796 of the family's 1831-position model. The record is from RNAcentral.